ACGCGGGGCUCGAACUCCCGGACCGUGAGAUCAUGACCUGAGCCAAAGUCGGAUGCUUAACCGACGGAGCCACCCAGGCGCCCCUUGGUUUAAUUUUAAAUAGGCCGUCAAUUUAAGUAUUGACGACAUUGGUGUUUAUUUUUUAAAGUGAACAUCAUUUUAAAGGUACCUACUAAAUUCAGGUAAUGGUCUCUCUCUAUUUGCCAUUUUGUGAAUCCACUAUUAACAUCCUUAUAACAGGCUUGUUAGUUCAGCAGAGGCCUUCAAGGCUUCCAGAAGAAAUCUAGGCUGGUCAGGAAGCUGACCUGGACAGUGGCAUUCCAUGAGUGGGUGUUUCCUAUGCCAGCAAAGCUGGGGCCCCCUUGCAAAUAUGAAGUCUUUUAAAGCAAUUAGGGGGUCCCUGCCAACUCCCACUCCUUUUUUAAUAUGAGAGGCAUCAGAAGCUCUGGGUCCAUUUCCUGAAGCACAACUCCUCUUCCUUCCUGCAUGUGCAGCUCAAAGGCCCUUCUGCAAGUGCUGGAUGGAGUCCAGGGGGCCAUGAGCAUUCUGCUAGUCCUACCCCUGAAAGUUUUUCUAAUAAAUAAGCUCUAAGCAUGCACUAUUUGUCAUUUCUGGUUUUAUUUGCACCCAUUAUUCAACCCUUCAUUAUUCAGAUGAACUUACGGUGCCUUUAAAACUUUAAUUGGUUUUCUUGUGGAUAUGAGAACUCCAGAGAUAUUACACAAGCCAGGGCCCAUUUCCUGGAAAGAUGUUUCAACUAUAACAUGACAAAAAUGAGGCCAUAAUGCGAAAGAACAGUCCAGUGGACUAGGAUGUUUAUAAACAACCCAGGAACACUUACAUGCAACAGCUACAGAAGAACCACCAAAUUAGGACUAUUCUGGCUCCUAAGAUCAAUUUAAAAGCACAUCUCAACUGUUAUGAAAAUUAUCUAAAUAUGCUUCACACCACCUGCAAGUCCUGUUUAAGAAUGGAUAUUCUGUGAACGUGGAGAAAAUUAUGCUAUCAGAUUGACCGUUGAAACCAAGAACCUCCAAUGAUACCAGCUGACAUCUUCUAUGAACUCCUGUUAGAACUUGAUUUGUUGAUGUUUGUUCAUGCCAUGAAGAUGGCUGAUGCCUCUAAUUUUAAAGUCCUUCCCUGGAUCUUAUUGCAAAAGAAGGAAAUGAUUCAUGCCCAGUGUUGGAGGAUGCCUAAGAACACAAUGGAAUCUUUGAGAGAUGAAUCAGCAUCUCAGUGAAGCUGGGAGAAUCAUAAACACUCCUCACAUCACAUGUCAAAAAACACCAAUCCAACCAUCUGGAGAAUGGUUUAGCAGUUCCAUCAGGGCCAUACUUGGUAAACGUCCCUUUAGGACCUCUUUUCCAUGCCUUCUACACUUAGGAGGAAUCAGAAACUGGAUGGAUAAUAGUGGUAACUCUUAAUUUAAGUUGGAUCUGAGCGGCCAUGCAAGUAAUACAGAAAUUAUGGGAAAAGGAUUGUGUAAUUCGUGUGUACCAAGGCCACGUGGCAGUUUGCUCCCAACAAUGUUGUAAAAGAAGAGAAAGGCUUUCUGUUUUUCCAGGAAAGAAUCUCCUAACACAUGGAACUGGACUGAAAUCAAGCACAUGGAAACAAGAAGGACAAAUAAAAAAAAAAAAAAGAGAGAGAGAGAGAGAGAGAAGAGGCACAAAUCUCCCCCAUGUGUGCAGAAGGGAAUGUUCUCAUACGACAUCGCAGUAACCGCGUGCAGUACAUGGAAAGGCAGUGCUGCCCCAGGGGAGGGGUGUGGAAUCAGAGGUGAGCUAAACAGUAGCCUUGAAGCCCAGUGUUACUGCCAACGUCGCCUUCCGCCACACCUGCGCUUUCACUGUAACUGUUUCACUCCAGCCGUGAAGGCCGUCAAGAUAGCUGUGCCAAGGGCUCCAUUUUCUGAUUGGGCAUUUUUUCCCCCUCCAAUUUAAUUCUUUUAAAUAUUUCUUACUUUGAUUAUUUUUUAUUUAACUACUGUUAAUUCACUGAUUUCAGCCUAAUUAGCUCUUCCUGAGUAAAUACAUUAGUGAAUUAAACUUCAUCAGAUUCUUUUUUUCUCCCUUAAUGAGUGAACAAAUGCAAUUUAUUGAUUUCUGGUGUGAAUUAAUAAAUGUUCAUAUUACAUUAAACCAGAGUAAACUUGAGAUUGCAACAAUAAACCACCUUUAUUUUUUUCCCUCCAAAUGCUUACUUGAUUUUUUUUUUUUCAGUCGGGUUAAUUUUGUUCUUGUCUGUAGAUAAAAACUCAAGAAUGACCCAAGGCAUUUGUAAUCAUUUAUAGGCAAUA
Felis catus (domestic cat) is the source of this 2299-nucleotide long non-coding RNA. RefSeq lists it as uncharacterized. Lineage: Eukaryota; Metazoa; Chordata; Mammalia; Carnivora; Felidae. The transcript is spliced from 5 exons. The record is from RefSeq and is a predicted model, not a curated record.